This is a long non-coding RNA of Bombina bombina (fire-bellied toad), 590 nucleotides long. RefSeq lists it as uncharacterized. The transcript is spliced from 3 exons. The record is from RefSeq and is a predicted model, not a curated record. NCBI's taxonomy places the organism in Eukaryota, Metazoa, Chordata, Amphibia, Anura, Bombinatoridae.
UCCUGAUGUCCGGCGAAGAAGGUCCUGUUCCAGGUGUUAAAGUCUUAUUCCAAGAGGCCGACAUCUUCUUCCAAGUGGGGACCACUUCCUUCUUCAUCCAAGACCAAGCCGGCGUGGAGCAGAGAUAAGCGCAGAGCAGGGCCAGCGACCACGGAGCUAUGGAGUGUGGAGGAUCCACUUCGUAUGAUCGCCGCACACAGAAUAGUGAAUUCAAGGGCGUCAUUCAGCCAGAAGACUCCUUUCCAGUCAUGGCUACAGCACCUGAACUGUCUGCAGCACCUAGCACCUCAGCCCAGAUGUCUUCUCCUGCGGUGCCUAUUUCCCAGGUCACAGACGCUUCUCCAGUUUGAGCGGCUUCGGAGUUAGCAAGGCAGGAACCCCCUUUGACAGCUGCUGGUAAACUAUAUUGGUUACUAUGACAACCGGCAGACCUGCGCAGUGUGUAAUGCAGGAUGUCGGGGACACUUCCGGUCGCUACGUGGUGAUGGUGGUGUAUAAAAUGCAUUCUAUUUUGUAAUGUUUUUAAUGGUCUGAGGACGGAGCUAACUACCCCGAAACGUCACUAAAUUAAUAAAGUAUCUUAUUUAAGA